GCGUCCGCGGUUGUACAUGCAUCAAAUAAGCAACUGUUUAGUUUCUCAAUCAAGAAUAUUUUUUUCAACCUGAGUGUGGUAUGUCCUCUUCUUCUGCACGGAUGCGUAUGCAGAAUAGUCAUAACCUCUAAACUCUUAACAUAUAUGUGUUAUGUGAUAAUGAUAAUGCCUUCCCGUUUAGUUUCUUUUUCUUUAUCUACCUUCUUUUAUUUAAAAUGUCCAUUCGAUAAUAAUCGAAUAGAGCAACCGCAAGAGUUGUUGAAGGUGAAAACACAUGUUUAGUUGGGAUU
RNAcentral lists this long non-coding RNA (290 nucleotides) under Mytilus galloprovincialis (Mediterranean mussel). The record is from RNAcentral. Lineage: Eukaryota; Metazoa; Mollusca; Bivalvia; Mytilida; Mytilidae.